GGCUCAGAUUGAACGCUGGCGGCAUGCCUUACACAUGCAAGUCGAACGGCAGCACAGGAGCAAUCCUGGUGGCGAGUGGCGAACGGGUGAGUAAUAUAUCGGGAACGUGCCCAAUCGUGGGGGAUAACGCAGCGAAAGCUGUGCUAAUACCGCAUACGCCCUGAGGGGGAAAGCGGGGGAUCGAAAGACCUCGCGCGAUUAGAGCGGCCGAUGCCUGAUUAGCUUGUUGGUGGGGUAAAAGCCCACCAAGGCGACGAUCAGUAGCUGGUCUGAGAGGACGAUCAGCCACACUGGGACUGAGACACGGCCCAGACUCCUACGGGAGGCAGCAGUGGGGAAUUUUGGACAAUGGGGGGAAACCUGAUCCAGCAAUGCCGCGUGAGUGAAGAAGGCCUUCGGGUUGUAAAGCUCUUUUGUCAGGGAAGAAACACCGGCUCUAACACAGUCCGGGAAUGACGGUACCUGAAGAAUAAGCACCGGCUAACUACGUG
RNAcentral lists this ribosomal RNA (491 nucleotides) under uncultured bacterium. RNAcentral's name for it is "bacterial SSU rRNA". It matches the Rfam family "Bacterial small subunit ribosomal RNA", at positions 21 to 507 of the family's 1533-position model. The record is from RNAcentral.